This 249-nucleotide ribosomal RNA is filed under the name Vibrio cholerae. RNAcentral describes it as "partial 23S ribosomal RNA". It matches the Rfam family "Bacterial large subunit ribosomal RNA", at positions 2695 to 2925 of the family's 2925-position model. Lineage: Bacteria; Pseudomonadati; Pseudomonadota; Gammaproteobacteria; Vibrionales; Vibrionaceae. The record is from RNAcentral.
GAGUGGACGAACCUCUGGUGUUCGGGUUGUGUCGCCAGACGCAUUGCCCGGUAGCUAAGUUCGGAAUUGAUAAGCGCUGAAAGCAUCUAAGCGCGAAGCGAGCCCUGAGAUGAGUCUUCCCUGACAGUUUAACUGUCCUAAAGGGUUGUUCGAGACUAGAACGUUGAUAGGCAGGGUGUGUAAGCGUUGUGAGGCGUUGAGCUAACCUGUACUAAUUGCCCGUGAGGCUUAACCAUACAACACCCAAGG